Molecule: long non-coding RNA, 351 nt
Organism: Hydractinia symbiolongicarpus
Lineage: Eukaryota; Metazoa; Cnidaria; Hydrozoa; Anthoathecata; Hydractiniidae
Exons: 3
Source: RefSeq, a predicted model, not a curated record
GGGCAAGAGGUCAACAGGGGUCGGAACACUGCCAUCCAGGCUAGAGUUUAAUUUUGGUACACAGCUUCGAUCAGAAUGUGGUAUGAAUGUUUGCCAGCUUUUGGGGUAAUUUGUGGUGCAAUGUGGUUGGCAGGGAGGGGCGUUGGAGCUAUACAACGUUAUCAGAAUGGAGGAAGGCCCCGCCGAGUUGGAAUGGACAAUUUUGAUUUACGAUUGAUGGAGCGUGAUAAGUUUCUUACUGGUAAUACCUACACACAAAAGGUUUCCUGAAGCGAUGUUAACAUCAAAGUUCGAAAAGUCUUGUACAUAAUUUGAUUGUUUAAAAGGAAGGCGAUUCGACGAAAUUAAAAA